UCAGUAAUAGUGUCAGGCCUCUCUUUCUU
RNAcentral lists this non-coding RNA (29 nucleotides) under Rattus norvegicus (Norway rat). The record is from RNAcentral. Lineage: Eukaryota; Metazoa; Chordata; Mammalia; Rodentia; Muridae.